This 420-nucleotide ribosomal RNA is filed under the name bacterium. Its description in RNAcentral is "partial 16S ribosomal RNA". It matches the Rfam family "Bacterial small subunit ribosomal RNA", at positions 355 to 776 of the family's 1533-position model. The record is from RNAcentral.
UGGGGGAUAUUGCACAAUGGGCGAAAGCCUGAUGCAGCGACGCCGCGUGGGGGAUGAAGGCUUUCGGGUUGUAAACCUCUUUCGCUAUCGAACAAGGCCCGCUUAGGGUGGGUUGAGGGUAGGUGGAGAAGAAGCGCCGGCUAACUACGUGCCAGCAGCCGCGGUAAUACGUAGGGCGCGAGCGUUGUCCGGAAUUAUUGGGCGUAAAGGGCUUGUAGGCGGCUUGUUGCGCCUGCUGUGAAAACGCGGGGCGUAACUGCGCGUGUGCAGUGGGUACGGGCAGGCUUGAGUGUGGUAGGGGUGACUGGAAUUCCAGGUGUAGCGGUGGAAUGCGCAGAUAUCUGGAGGAACACCGAUGGCGAAGGCAGGUCACUGGGCCAUUACUGACGCUGAGGAGCGAAAGCAUGGGUAGCGAACAGG